Molecule: long non-coding RNA, 2245 nt
Filed under: Sus scrofa (pig)
Lineage: Eukaryota; Metazoa; Chordata; Mammalia; Artiodactyla; Suidae
Description: lncRNA (ENSSSCG00035009854.1, ENSSSCG00045018778.1, ENSSSCG00055000267.1, ENSSSCG00065067146.1)
Source: RNAcentral
CAGCAUAUGGAGGUUCCCAGGCUAGGGGUGGAAUCAGAGCUAUAGCUGCCGGCCACAGCCACAGCCACAGCACAGGAUCCAAGCCGCAUCUGUGACCUACACCACAGCUCACAGCAAUGCCAGAUCGUCAAUCCACUGAGCAAGGCCAGGGAUUGAAUCCGCAACUUCAUGGUUCCUAGUUGGAUUUGUUUCCACUGCACCAUGAUGGGAACUCCAACAUUGGUAGGCUAUAUGGUAAGUAAAAUGUCUAACACUGUAACAAAUUGUCAAACUUUUCCAAAGUGGUUGUCCUACCAGCAAUGUAUGACUUCCCACUGUUCCACAUCCUCCCUGGAACUUGCCAUAGUCUGUCUUUAAUUUUAGUUAUCCCAAUGAGAAUGUAGUGGUAUCCCAUUGCGGUGUUUUUUCUGUUUUGUUUUGGUCAUGCCUGCAGCAUCUGGAAGUUCCUAGGCCAGGGAAUGAACCUGCUCCACAGCAGUAACCAGAGCCACAGCAGUGACAAUGAAGGAUCUUUAAGCUGCUAGGCCACCGGGGAACUCCCCCAUUUUGUCUUUUAAUUUGUGUGACUUCACUGACAACCAUCAAUGUUAAGUACACUUUCACAUGCUUAUUUGGCUGUUCACUUAUCUUUUAUCUUUUCUUGUAAAGUAUCUUUUCAAAUACCUUACUCAUAUCUUAGAUUAUUUAUUAAAAAACAUAUUCUGGAUAUAGCCCUUCAUCAGGUAGAGUUCUUUGAGGUAGUUACGUUCUAUACCGUGAAUUAGUGAAUACUGAACCAUUACUCCUAGGGCAAAUACCUUAGGGUUAGUCUCCUAAGAGACUCUGGUCACAACACGUUAGCCAAUCAAUCAAUGCAUAAUCUUAUUUUACGUGUAUUUAUGUUUAAAGAUACCUUAUUUAAUAUAUUUAAUAUAUAUCAUUGAUUCACUAACAUUAAACUCGCAGCCAUUGUCACUCUAACUAAUGCCUGGAUGAGGCUUAUCUAAGACGUGAAUUUUCUCCAUAAGGUACAUCAUAGCUUUCUUGAACUUAAGAACACUAGACAGUACUUCUACAUUAUGCUUGGGAGCCAUUUUAAGUUGCAAGAUCAACAACAAAAAUAAUAAAAAAUGCAAAAUAUUGGCACUAAAUAGGCUAUGAAAAGGACAUUUAUUUAUUUUUAAAAUAAAGUGUAGUUGACUUACAAUGUUGUGCCAAUUUCUGCCAUAGGGGCACUUGUUUAUACCCUGAAAACUAAAACAAGGCAGAGCACCAUUUUGUUUGAUACUGGCUGGAACAUAUACGUUGGGCAACUUAAAUUUUUGCUACUCUGUGCAUAUCCAUGAAUGACCACAAAAGCACUGCAAAUAGUGGUUUGCAGGUUAUAAAUUUUAAUAACAAAAGUUUUCUAUUUUGAUACAGUACUAUUUAUCAGGUUUUUUGUUUUAUGGCUUAUGCCACUUGUGUUAUUUAAGAAACCUUUGAUUAUCCUAAGGAUGAAAACAUUUUCUCUUAUGUUUUCUACUAAGUUUUACAGUUUUAGCUUUUACAUUUAUACCCAUGAUUUGUUUUGAGUCCAUUUUUUUUAUGAUGUGAGGUAAGGUCAAGGUCUAUUUCUUCCCACAGAGAUAUACAGUUGUUCCAACACUAUUUGUUGAGAAGACUAUCCCUGAAUAGUUUGGGCACUUUCACAAAAAACAAUUGACUACAUACACAUGAGUGUAUUUCUUGAUUCUUUAUUCUGUUUUGUUCAUCUCACGCUUGUCAUUAUGUCAAAACUACACUGUCUUGAUAACUGUAGCUUUAUAGUUAAGACCUGAAAUCAGGUUGUGUAAAUCCUCCAACAGUGUGCUUUUUUUGUUUUCAAAACUGUUCAGGUUAUUAGGUCCUUUGCAUUUCCAUAUAAACUUUGGAAUCAUUCAGCUUUUGAUUUCUCAAAAAGGUCUGGUAAGAUUUUGAUUGGAAUGGUACUGAAUAUACACUGAUCAAUCUAAAGAGAACUAACAUAACAAUACUCAGGCUCUGAUCCAUAAACAUGGUAUAUACAUACCUCCAUUUACUUAGAUUCUUCAUUUGUCUUAGCAAUGCUUUAUAGGUUUUAGUGUAUGUAUCUUAUACACACUUGGAUAAAUUUAUUCCUAAGAAUUUCAUGUUGCAUUCAUUUUUAAAAACUCAUUUACCAACUGUUCAUUGCUGGUAUACAGAAAUAAAAUUUGAUAUUUGUAUGUUGACUUUGUGUCCUAAAAUCUUGCUUUAUUUCACCUAU